RNAcentral lists this ribosomal RNA (433 nucleotides) under uncultured bacterium. Its description in RNAcentral is "partial 16S ribosomal RNA". It matches the Rfam family "Bacterial small subunit ribosomal RNA", at positions 29 to 507 of the family's 1533-position model. The record is from RNAcentral.
AACGAACGCUGGCGGCAUGCCUAACACAUGCAAGUCGAACGAAACCUUCGGGCUUAGUGGCGCACGGGUGCGUAACGCAUGGGAACCUGCCCUUAGGUUCGGAAUAACUCCCCGAAAGGGGUGCUAAUACCGGAUAAUGUCUUCGGACCAAAGAUUUAUCGCCUUUGGAUGGGCCCGGGUUGGAUUAGCUAGUUGGUAGGGUAAAAGCCUACCAAGGCGUCGAUGCAUAGCUGGUCUGAGAGGAUGAUCAGCCACACUGGGGCUGAGACACGGCCCAGACUCCUACGGGAGGCAGCAGUGGGGAAUAUUGGACGAUGGGCGAAAGCCUGAUCCAGCAAUGCCGCGUGAGAGAUGAAGGCCUUAGGGUUGUAAAGCUCUUUUACCCGGGAUGAUAAUGACAGUACCGGGAGAAUAAGCUCCGGCUAACUCCGUG